RNAcentral lists this small nuclear RNA (208 nucleotides) under Fukomys damarensis (Damara mole-rat). RNAcentral's name for it is "U2 spliceosomal RNA". Lineage: Eukaryota; Metazoa; Chordata; Mammalia; Rodentia; Bathyergidae. The record is from Rfam by way of RNAcentral.
AUCGCUUCUCGGCCUUUUGGCUAAGAUCAAGUGUAAAAUUUUUGCAGUGCUAGGAAUUGAAGCAAGAGCCUCUACUACUGAGGUACAUUUCCAGGCGCUCCAUUUUUUGUUUGUUUGUUUGUUUGUUUGUUUGUUUUGAGACAGGGUCUCACUAUGUAGUUGAGGCUGACCUGGAACUCACUAUGUAGCCCAGGCUAGUCUUGAACUC